RNAcentral lists this ribosomal RNA (855 nucleotides) under uncultured Bacillota bacterium. Its description in RNAcentral is "bacterial SSU rRNA". It matches the Rfam family "Bacterial small subunit ribosomal RNA", at positions 70 to 902 of the family's 1533-position model. The record is from RNAcentral. Lineage: Bacteria; Bacillati; Bacillota.
AAAGCCUCCUUCGGGGGGCAAGUAGAGUGGCGCACGGGUGAGUAACACGUAGGUAAUCUACCUUUGGAUUGGGAAUAACCACCGGAAACGGUGGCUAAUACCGAAUAAUGCAGCGGCACCUAAUGGUGACAGUUGUUAAAGCGGGGGAUCGAAAGACCUCGCGUCUGAAGAGGAGCCUGCGGCAGAUUAGCUAGUUGGUAAGGUAACGGCUUACCAAGGCGAUGAUCUGUAGCCGGCCUGAGAGGGCGGUCGGCCACACUGACACUGACAUACGGGUCAGACUCCUACGGGAGGCAGCAGUCGGGAAUUUUGGGCAAUGGGCGAAAGCCUGACCCAGCAACGCCGCGUGAAGGAUGAAAUCCUUCGGGAUGUAAACUUCGCAAGAACGGGAAGAAUAAGUAAGGGUUAAUAUCUCUUACGAUGACGGUACUGUUUGUAAGCUCCGGCUAACUCCGUGCCAGCAGCCGCGGUAAUACGGGGGGAGCAAGCGUUGUUCGGAUUUACUGGGCGUAAAGGGCGCGUAGGCGGCCACCGCAAGUCGACUGUGAAAUCUCCGGGCUUAACCCGGAAAGGUCAGCCGAUACUGCGGGGCUAGAGUGCAGAAGGGGCAACUGGAAUUCUCGGUGUAGCGGUGAAAUGCGUAGAUAUCGAGAGGAACACCUGCGGCGAAGGCGGGUUGCUGGGCUGACACUGACGCUGAGGCGCGAAAGCUAGGGGAGCGAACGGGAUUAGAUACCCCGGUAGUCCUAGCCUUAAACGAUGAAUGCUUGGUGUCUGGGGUUUUAUAGUCCCCGGGUGCCGUCGCUAACGCUUUAAGCAUUCCGCCUGGGGAGUACGGUCGCAAGACUGAAACUC